GUGGGGAAUAUUGGACAAUGGGCGAAAGCCUGAUCCAGCCAUGCCGCGUGUGUGAAGAAGGUCUUCAGAUUGUAAAGCACUUUAAGUUGGGAGGAAGGGCAGUAAGUUAAUACCUUGCUGUUUUGACGUUACCGACAGAAUAAGCACCGGCUAACUUCGUGCCAGCAGCCGCGGUAAUACGAAGGGUGCAAGCGUUAAUCGGAAUUACUGGGCGUAAAGCGCGCGUAGGUGGUUUUGUAAGUUGGAGGUGAAAUCCCCGGGCGCAACCUGGGAACUGCCUCCAAAACUGCAUGACUAGAGUACGGUAGAGGGUAGUGGAAUUUCCUGUGUAGCGGUGAAAUGCGUAGAUAUAGGAAGGAACACCAGUGGCGAAGGCGACUACCUGGACUGAUACUGACACUGAGGUGCGAAAGCGUGGGGAGCAAACAGGAUUAGAUACCCGAGUAGUCC
RNAcentral lists this ribosomal RNA (450 nucleotides) under uncultured bacterium. RNAcentral describes it as "partial 16S ribosomal RNA". It matches the Rfam family "Bacterial small subunit ribosomal RNA", at positions 354 to 796 of the family's 1533-position model. The record is from RNAcentral.